RNAcentral lists this transfer RNA (65 nucleotides) under Ovatella vulcani. RNAcentral's name for it is "tRNA-Ile". The record is from RNAcentral. Lineage: Eukaryota; Metazoa; Mollusca; Gastropoda; Ellobiida; Ellobiidae.
GAGCAACCGCCGGAUGAACGGGGGUCAUUGAUGUUGACCAUCAUGAGAACCACACUCGUUGCUCU